This 764-nucleotide ribosomal RNA is filed under the name Cephalophus jentinki (Jentink's duiker). RNAcentral describes it as "partial 12S ribosomal RNA". It matches the Rfam family "Bacterial small subunit ribosomal RNA", at positions 47 to 1357 of the family's 1533-position model. The record is from RNAcentral. Lineage: Eukaryota; Metazoa; Chordata; Mammalia; Artiodactyla; Bovidae.
ACUUACACAUGCAAGCAUCCACAUCCCGGUGAGAAUGCCCUCUGAAUCUCUAAGGCUAAGAGGAGCAGGUAUCAAGCACACAUCCUGUAGCUCACAACACCUUGCUUAACCACACCCCCACGGGAGACAGCAGUGACAGAAAUUAAGCUAUGAACGAAAGUUUGACUAAGUUAUAUUGACCAGGGUUGGUAAAUCUCGUGCCAGCCACCGCGGUCAUACGAUUAACCCAAGCUAACAGGAACACGGCGUAAAACGUGUUUAAGCACCAUACCAAAUAGAGUUAAAUUUUAAUUAAACUGUAAAAAGCCAUAAUUAUAAUAAAAAUAAAUGACGAAAGUAACUCUAUGACAGCUGAUACACUAUAGCUAAGACCCAAACUGGGAUUAGAUACCCCACUAUGCUUAGCCCUAAACACAAAUAAUUAUAAAAACAAAAUUAUUCGCCAGAGUACUACCGGCAACAGCCUAAAACUCAAAGGACUUGGCGGUGCUUUACACCCUUCUAGAGGAGCCUGUUCUAUAAUCGAUAAACCCCGAUAGACCUCACCAAUUCUUGCUAAUGCAGUCUAUAUACCGCCAUCUUCAGCAAACCCUAAAAAGGAACAAAAGUAAGCAUAAUCACAACACAUAAAAACGUUAGGUCAAGGUGUAACCUAUGAAAUGGGAAGAAAUGGGCUACAUUUUCUAUCACAAGAAAAUCUCACGAAAGUUAUUAUGAAACUAAUAACCAAAGGAGGAUUUAGUAGUAAACUAAGAAUAGAGUGC